Long non-coding RNA from Poecilia latipinna (sailfin molly), 2669 nucleotides. RefSeq lists it as uncharacterized. The transcript is spliced from 2 exons. NCBI's taxonomy places the organism in Eukaryota, Metazoa, Chordata, Actinopteri, Cyprinodontiformes, Poeciliidae. The record is from RefSeq and is a predicted model, not a curated record.
UUUUCAUGAUAUUUGUCAGCUUUUUGAUGCCAUUUAUAAAGCUGUCAAUGCAAUCACACACAAUUACAUGCAAUCCUGUCUUUCCAGGUGAAAAGUAAAACACUCAUCAAACUUAGGCACCAAAUAAAACAUGAUAAAGCUUUCAGCUACGUCUGGCACCAUGCCGGCCUAACUGCAGCCCCACCGAGCGACCCUUGGCUCUCUGACAGCAACCACAAGGACAGAAUGAAACUAUCGCUGGCCCUGACUCGGCCUGAGUCACAGUGCGUCAACGGUGUUAGCAUAGGUAGGCUGUUCGAUCUGUGUGAUCCGGAGGGACCCAACUCGCCCAGAGGUUGCAUAAAAAAAGACCCGUGCGCCAGACUGUUGCGAAUACCCCUGUCUUUGGGCUGAGAUUUGCAAAUUGUGCUUGUUGACUUGAGUGGGCUGAUACAUUCUUGACUGUGAGAAGUUGUCAGUGCGUGGUUUGAAGCUAGUUCAUGUUCAGAGCCUCCGUCGAUCAAGAGAGGAAUGGGAGAACGCUUUCUAUGGCCUGAAUGUUUGAUUUGUUAACAGACUGAUAUGACUGCAUCUGCUUUAUGGGGUUUAAAUAACUAAACAACUCAGAUAAAGAUUUUCCAGAUAUUUGUGCUGAUGGAUGCUUUACUCUCUCAUAUUGCUGCUGAUUUAGCCAACUGCUUCCAGUCAUCCCAGUAUCACCUGCUGCUGCCUAUUCCACACAAACUAAGGACAGUACUGGAUGACUUUCACUGCCAUCUAGUGAUCAAUUUUUCUUUUCCACACUACCUAAAUGUUCAAAUAUUGUGUGGCACUAUUUUCAACAACAUAAAUCUAAUUAAGCAUCUGCUUGACAGAAAACAAAGAAAAAACAUUUUCAAAUAGUAAAUAAUCUGCUGCAGAAUAAUGCAGAGAGAAACAGAGUAUUGGUCAUAAAGGUAAACUGGAUGCUUAUUAACCAUUUAUUCAGAGCUACAAAGAAAAGCUGACUGGGUUUCUAGAAAAUAAGGCUACGGCAUUAGCUAAUUUAAGGGAGGAAACAUCCCAGUAAUGUGGGUCUUACAGAGGACUUCAGCCUGUCAAGUCGCUGGGUCUCCAGUGAGCACACUCUGGGACCAAAGGCUUAAAAUUGGCAUCAAAACAGAGGUAGCAUUGGUAACAUCAGUCAGUAACUGCGUAUAUGCCAACUAUGUUUCCAACAAUCUGAUGCAAUGGCCAAUCCAUACAGUGCUUGGUUUGCAAAAACACAAUCACAGCUCCUGUUCCUCUGGAAAAGAAUCCUAUCUAUAAACCCUGACAAGCACACUAAUUCAGUUUUGAGCUAAUCUAAACCUUAAAAGGGCAGUUAAGAAGAGUGGUGUGGAAAGGUUAAGAGUAGUUACCCUCUGACCUGCAGUAGAUAGGAUUCACCUCAGGUAGAAUGAAGAGAAGUCUGGACAGUCUGGGAGAUCAUAGCGUGUCAGAAUGUCUUCUAAAUCAAAGUGAACUUUUACUCUCUUUAAAUGAUUUCAAUCACAUCAUGCUAGAGGAUUUAGAAUGCUGCUUUACAACGUGUGAGCUUUAGCAGUCUCAGCUACUAAAAAUAUCCAUCUGGUGUUAGGAUGAAAUGUUUAGAGUCCAUCCAACUGAUCAAAUAUAAUAUCAACAUGCAGAAGUUAAAUGUUAUGACACUUGAAGUAAAUGUACUAUCAAAUAUUGUGUCCAAGCAAUCCUUUGAAAUACUGCAUGCAUGAUGUAGUAAUUAUGAUUGGUACAGAAAUGUGUUUUGGGUGGAGUCCAAACUUCUUUUUCUUUCCCCAAAUUCUGGUUGCUAAGAGUUAUUUACAACAGGUUAGACACCAACUACUUACAAACACGUCCCAUGACAUUAUUUUAGAAAAGAAAGGCCUGAAGGCAGGGCUGCAGUGAGGCCUUUGGUAGCUGGCAAAUGUUAAAAGUCAAUUGAAGAACAUGGAAUGACAAGAUAGAAAGGCAAUAAGGAACACAGGACAGAGAGAUUCCUGUAGAAAGCAAAACAUUUCUCUUUUUCUCUCUCUUUACAUUUAAGUUAUCUUGGGUUUUGGGGAAAAAAGUUACAAGGCUGCUGGUGACUUUAAGACAAAAUAAAUGUUGUUGUAGUAGUAGAGGCAUACCAGAGGUGUGGUUGCGUUGAGCUUCUUGUUGUUGCUAAUCUCCCAGAAAAUGACUUUACAAAUGGAAUAAAUAUGAAGUAAAGCCUCAGUCGCCACAGAUUAAGAGCAGGGGACGCCAUGGCUUCUUAAAGGGAUACUCUGACAUCGUCUUCAAUUCCAAUUUAGAACCUCUGAACCCACAUAAACUAAAGAUAAAUGCUUGGACUCCAUGAAGUAUUUGGGAAAAGUACUUCAACCACUUCAGUAUAUGUGACACUCUCUAUCAGUACACUUUGACUCCAGGUGUUUGACCUUUUCUAAUACUGCAACAUUUUAUUAUUUGUUUAGUCCACAAGAUACUUACAAAACUGAAUAUGCCAUAUAUGCUGCUGACCGUUUUCCAUGUGAUUAAGAGUCAUAUGCUGAUAGAGAUGACUCAAAUGAGUGUGUGUGUGUGUAUGUGUGUGUGAGUGUGUGUGUUUGGGAGCUGGGUCUACAUCUUGAUUCCCUCCUGCUGGCUGAGCUGAGACAGCGUCUUCUUGAUCCGGAGCGCGGUGAGCC